Molecule: non-coding RNA, 1265 nt
Organism: Drosophila virilis
Lineage: Eukaryota; Metazoa; Arthropoda; Insecta; Diptera; Drosophilidae
Source: RefSeq, a predicted model, not a curated record
UUAAGCCGCCAGAGGCCGCUUCUCGCUAAAGUGCAGCUGUGUGCGUGUGUGUGCCAAAAAGCGUUUAAGUAAUAAAGCGAAAAAAAAAGAGUAGCAAAAAAAAAAAAAAAUAAGAAAAUAAAAGCGCGCAGAGUUUCGUGUCAUUUCGCGUGUUAUACUAUUUGUCUUUGUGUGCGUGUGUGUGUGUGUGCAGUGCAAAAAUCUAGACAACAACAACAACAACAAGGAGAAGAAGAGCAGGCAGAAGCAGCUAGAAGAAGAGCAAUUUAGUGAGUGCAAGUGCUGCAAUUAAAAAGUUGUCACAGCGCCGCCCCGCAACGUUCCACGCGCCCCCAACUAAAGUGCGCACUUGAAAUAUUUGUAACUCUUUCUUUGUGCAACAUUUUUGUGCGGUUUCUGCCGCGCACAACAGAUUUGUUAAAUGAAACCGGAAAAUUGGCUCGACUCAUCUGCCUCAACGUCAGCAGCUGCCGCUGCCGCUGCCGCUACCGCUGCCGCUGCCAACGCCACCGUUGCAGCCGCAACGUACAGCAAUGCAAAGGUAAGCCAUUGCGCAUUCGAAUCAUUUGAAUCACAAUGAAUCAUUUGUGAAUGUUAUUCAAUUCUGCACUCGUAAGUAAAACAACUUUACGUUUGCGUUUUUAGCAUUUGUUAAUAUUUAGCAAAAGCAGCAGCAGCAACUAAAACUAAAACUUAAUUUAACGACCGCAAACACAGUUUUUUUUUGUUUGUUUGUUUUUGCGGCUGCUGUGAAAUUUGUUGACCCCAACAACAGCAAAAUUGAAUGUGAGGAAAAGCGCGUUUUCAAAGAUUUCACUUUCUUGACGUUAACAACAGAAGAGGCGCAAAUGCAAAUGCAAAGUCCAGCGCCAAAAAUGCUGCUAAUUGUUAUCGAUAGAAAAGCCAGCCCAUUGUUAUCGAUAACUUAUCGAUGGCUGAUCCGCUCAUAUCCGAUUAUUCCUAUCGGUAGAUAAAAAAAACUUAAAUAUUAGCCAAGUUCAUUGAGGCUGUCGGAACACUGGAGAACUAACGUAUACAUAAAGAAUCACAUUCUCAGAGCUCAUAUACUAAAUUCUUUUGUUAAAAAUGAUGCGAGCUUAUAGUAAAGUGAUUUAAGUGUAUCGCAAAACUAUAACAAUACCAUAUUAUAGGAAUAUAUUUAAAAUAUGAGUUAAAUUUUAGGGUAACUUCAAAACAACAAAUAUAAAUAUAUAGAACGAAAGCAGAUAGAAAAACAUCGCCAGAGAUUUAAAAAGGACCAAAAA